This 322-nucleotide ribosomal RNA is filed under the name Cercomonas sp. RNAcentral's name for it is "SSU rRNA". The stretch from base 55 to 322 matches the Rfam family "Eukaryotic small subunit ribosomal RNA", at positions 686 to 955 of the family's 1831-position model. The record is from RNAcentral. Lineage: Eukaryota; Cercozoa; Cercomonadida; Cercomonadidae.
GAUUUCUGGUACGGCGCGCUUGGCCCGCCAGGGUUACCUGGUUGUGUGCUGGUGCGCGCCUGCCAUCCUUUUGCAUUUCAGUUCUAUCCUUUACUGGUGUGUAACUGGUUUGCAAAUCUUUUACUUUGAAAAAAUUAGAGUGUUUAAAGCAGGCUUGCGCUAUGAAUACAUUAGCAUGGAAUAAUAAUUUAGGACUUUGGUUCUAUUUUGUUGGUUUCUAGGACUAAAGUAAUGAUUGAUAGGGAUAGUUGGGGGUGCUAGUAUUCAGCGGCCAGAGGUGAAAUUCUUGGAUUCGCUGAAGACUAACUUAUGCGAAAGCAUU